UCAGCCAGGGGGCAGGUC
This 18-nucleotide unclassified non-coding RNA is filed under the name Mus musculus (house mouse). RNAcentral's name for it is "oocyte_clustered_small_RNA620". Lineage: Eukaryota; Metazoa; Chordata; Mammalia; Rodentia; Muridae. The record is from RNAcentral.